This 151-nucleotide transfer RNA is filed under the name Candidatus Aenigmatarchaeota archaeon. RNAcentral's name for it is "tRNA-Leu". It matches the Rfam family "tRNA". Rfam says of the family: Transfer RNA (tRNA) molecules are approximately 80 nucleotides in length. Their secondary structure includes four short double-helical elements and three loops (D, anti-codon, and T loops). Lineage: Archaea; Nanobdellati; Candidatus Aenigmatarchaeota. The record is from RNAcentral.
GCGGGGGUAGCCAAGCGGUCAAAGGCGCAGGACUUAAGAUCCUGUGGCUUAGUGCCUUCGUGGGUUCGAACACCACUCUUUCCAGACGCUUUCGCAAGUCGCAAAGAGCGGUGGACCAGAAAGGUCCAUUUCGAAAAUCCCAUCCCCCGCA